Molecule: small nuclear RNA, 127 nt
Organism: Jaculus jaculus (lesser Egyptian jerboa)
Lineage: Eukaryota; Metazoa; Chordata; Mammalia; Rodentia; Dipodidae
Source: Ensembl
GUGUUCUAUGAAAAGAGAGAAGGCUAGCACUCCCUUUGGCAAGGAUUGAAGAGGCCCUCGGGCCUUAAAGCAGACAUAAUGUUCAGGCAUUUCCACCCUACUUCGUGGCAUCUACUCACCAUUCUCU